GCUUCAUCCAGCCCCAAGCACCCCAGGGGACUGCCAAGCUGGGCCACUUCCUUAGCGCGGGACAGUCAGCGUGCACCACAGAGGUUCUGCCAGCUGCCCAGGAGAGCUUCAUCCAG
This is a long non-coding RNA of Haliotis rubra (blacklip abalone), 116 nucleotides long. RefSeq lists it as uncharacterized. Lineage: Eukaryota; Metazoa; Mollusca; Gastropoda; Lepetellida; Haliotidae. The transcript has 3 exons. The record is from RefSeq and is a predicted model, not a curated record.